Molecule: ribosomal RNA, 408 nt
Filed under: uncultured bacterium
Lineage: Bacteria
Description: partial 16S ribosomal RNA
Rfam family: Bacterial small subunit ribosomal RNA
Source: RNAcentral
AUUGAACGCUGGCGGCAGGCCUAACACAUGCAAGUCGAACGGAGUGGCGAACGGGUGAGUAACACGUGGGUGAACUGCCCUGCACUUCGGGAUAAGCCUGGGAAACUGGGUCUAAUACCGGAUAGUGUGGGAUGGGCCAGCGGCCUAUCAGCUUGUUGGUGGGGUAAUGGCCUACAAAGGCGGCGACGGGUAGCCGGCCUGAGAGGGUGGACGGCCACAUUGGGACUGAGACACGGCCCAGACUCCUACGGGAGUCAUCAGUGGGGAAUAUUGCACAAUGGGCGGAAGCCUGAUGCAGCGACGCCGCGUGGGGGAUGACGGCCUUCGGGUUGUAAACGCCUUUCACCAUCGACGCGGUAGAUGGAGAAGAAGCACCGGCUAACUACGUGCCAGCCGCCGCGGUAAUAC